This 373-nucleotide ribosomal RNA is filed under the name uncultured organism. RNAcentral describes it as "partial 16S ribosomal RNA". It matches the Rfam family "Bacterial small subunit ribosomal RNA", at positions 527 to 896 of the family's 1533-position model. The record is from RNAcentral.
GUAGGUGGCAAGCGUUGUCCGGGAAUUAUUGGGCGUAAAGCGCGCGCAGGCGGUUCUUUAAGUCUGAUGUGAAAGCCCACGGCUCAACCGUGGAGGGUCAUUGGAAACUGGAGAACUUGAGUACAGAAGAGGAAAGCGGAAUUCCACGUGUAGCGGUGAAAUGCGUAGAGAUGUGGAGGAACACCAGUGGCGAAGGCGGCUUUCUGGUCUGUAACUGACGCUGAGGCGCGAAAGCGUGGGGAGCAAACAGGAUUAGAUACCCUGGUAGUCCACGCCGUAAACGAUGAGUGCUAAGUGUUAGGGGGUUUCCGCCCCUUAGUGCUGCAGCUAACGCAUUAAGCACUCCGCCUGGGGAGUACGGCCGCAAAGGCUG